RNAcentral lists this small RNA (57 nucleotides) under Arabidopsis thaliana (thale cress). Its description in RNAcentral is "ATSL030630". The record is from RNAcentral. Lineage: Eukaryota; Viridiplantae; Streptophyta; Magnoliopsida; Brassicales; Brassicaceae.
UUGAGACUCUUGAAGGCUGGGCAAGGACGGUAGUGACUGGUAGAGCUAAGCUUGGGG